UACGAAGGCCACAAGCGUUAUCCGGAUUUAUUGGGCGUAAAGGGUGCGUAGGAGGCGCGGUAAGUUUCUAGUUAAAUCUCAGGGCUCAACCCUGAGGCUGCUAGGAAUACUGCCAUGCUCGAGGACGUUAGAGGCAGAUGGAACACACGGUGUAGGGGUGAAAUCCGUUGAUAUCGUGUGGAACACCAAAGGCGAAGGCAUUCUGCUGGGACGUUCCUGACUCUGAGGCACGAAAGCGUGGGGAGCAAAA
Molecule: ribosomal RNA, 250 nt
Filed under: uncultured bacterium
Lineage: Bacteria
Description: partial 16S ribosomal RNA
Rfam family: Bacterial small subunit ribosomal RNA
Source: RNAcentral